UGGGGAAUAUUGCGCAAUGGGGGCAACCCUGACGCAGCAACGCCGCGUGCGGGACGACGGCCUUCGGGUUGUAAACCGCUUUCAGCAGGGAAGAUAGUGACGGUACCUGCACAAGUAGCCCCGGCUAACUACGUGCCAGCAGCCGCGGUAAUACGUAGGGGGCGAGCGUUAUCCGGAUUCAUUGGGCGUAAAGCGCGCGCAGGCGGCUCUUCAAGCGGAACCUCUAACCCCGGGGCUCAACCUCGGGCCGGGUUCCGAACUGGAGGGCUCGAGUGCGGUAGAGGCAGGCGGAAUUCCCGGUGUAGCGGUGGAAUGCGCAGAUAUCGGGAAGAACACCGAUGGCGAAGGCAGCCUGCUGGGCCGGCACUGACGCUGAGGCGCGAAAGCUAGGGGAGCGAACAGG
RNAcentral lists this ribosomal RNA (403 nucleotides) under Verrucomicrobiota bacterium. RNAcentral describes it as "Verrucomicrobia bacterium partial 16S ribosomal RNA". It matches the Rfam family "Bacterial small subunit ribosomal RNA", at positions 355 to 776 of the family's 1533-position model. The record is from RNAcentral. Lineage: Bacteria; Pseudomonadati; Verrucomicrobiota.